GAACUAGUACCGUGAGGGAAAGGUGAAAAGUACCCCGGAAGGGGAGUGAAAUAGCACCUGAAACCGUGUGCUUACAAGCGGUCGGAGCCGGCUUUGUCCGGUGACGGCGUGCCUUUUGCAUAAUGAGCCAGCGAGUUACUCGUCCACGGCGAGGUUAAGGAAACGGAGCCGUAGCGAAAGCGAGUCUGAACAGGGCGUUCAGUCGUGGGCGGUAGACCCGAAACUGAGUGAUCUAUCCAUGGGCAGGUUGAAGCGGAGGUAAGACUCCGUGGAGGACCGAACCGACCUAGGUUGAAAACUGGGCGGAUGACCUGUGGAUCGGAGUGAAAGGCUAAUCAAACUCAGAGAUAUCUGGUUCUCCCCGAAAUAUAUUUAGGUAUAGCCUCGCAUGUUCAAUUGCGGUUGUAGAGCACUGUUUGGUCUAGGGGGCCUACCAGCUUACCGAAAUCAGGCAAACUCCGAAUGCCGUAAUUCCAGAGUGCGGGAGUCAGACUGCGGGGGAUAAGCUUCGUGGUCAAAAGGGAAACAGCCCAGACCGUCGGCUAAGGCCCCUAAUUCCAUGCUAAGUGGGAAACGAUGUCCGAUUGCAGAGACAACCAGGAUGUUGGCUUAGAAGCAGCCACCAUUCAAAGAGUGCGUAACAGCUCACUGGUCAAGUGGUCGGGCGCGGACAAUGUAACGGGGCUCAAGCAUGGAGCCGAAGCCACGGACUUCGAGCUUUGCUCGGAGUGGUAGGGGAGCGUUCCCAGGGCGGUGAAGCGGCGGCGUAAGCCUGCCGUGGAGCGCUGGGAAGUGAGAAUGCUGGCAUGAGUAACGAAAGGCGAGUGAGAAACUCGCCCGCCGAAUGCCUAAGGGUUCCUGAGUAAAGCUAAUCUGCUCAGGGUUAGUCGGGACCUAAGCCGAGGCCGCAAGGCGUAGGCGAUGGACAACAGGUUGAUAUUCCUGUACCACGUCCCAACCGCUAUCACCGAUGGCGGGACGGGGUAGGCUAGGAGAACCCAGGCGAUGGUCGACCUGGGGUAACCGCGUAGGGCGGGGGAUAGGAAAAUCCGUCCCCCAUCAAGCCUGAGAC
RNAcentral lists this ribosomal RNA (1072 nucleotides) under Thermaceae bacterium. Its description in RNAcentral is "partial 23S ribosomal RNA". It matches the Rfam family "Bacterial large subunit ribosomal RNA", at positions 492 to 1562 of the family's 2925-position model. Lineage: Bacteria; Thermotogati; Deinococcota; Deinococci; Thermales; Thermaceae. The record is from RNAcentral.